GAUGAACGCUGGCGGCGUGCCUAAUACAUGCAAGUCGAGCGAACAGACGAGGAGCUUGCUCCUCUGACGUUAGCGGCGGACGGGUGAGUAACACGUGGAUAACCUACCUAUAAGACUGGGAUAACUUCGGGAAACCGGAGCUAAUACCGGAUAAUAUAUUGAACCGCAUGGUUCAAUAGUGAAAGACGGUUUUGCUGUCACUUAUAGAUGGAUCCGCGCCGCAUUAGCUUGUUGGUCAUGUAACGGCUUAUCAAGGCAACGAUGCGUACCCGACCUGAGCGGGUGGUCGGCCACCUUAGAACUGAGACAGGGUCAAGACUCCUACGGGAGGCCGCAGAAGGGAAUCUUCCGCAAUGGGAGAAAGCCUGACGGAGCAACCCCGAGUGAGUGAUGAAGAUCUUCGGAUCGUAAAACUCUGUUAUUAGGGAAAAACAAAUGUGUAAGUAACUAUGCACGGAUUGACGGUAACUGAUCAGAAAGCCACGGCUAACUACGUG
Molecule: ribosomal RNA, 497 nt
Filed under: uncultured bacterium
Lineage: Bacteria
Description: partial 16S ribosomal RNA
Rfam family: Bacterial small subunit ribosomal RNA
Source: RNAcentral